Transfer RNA from Ovis aries (sheep), 72 nucleotides. It matches the Rfam family "tRNA". From Rfam's summary of the family: Transfer RNA (tRNA) molecules are approximately 80 nucleotides in length. Their secondary structure includes four short double-helical elements and three loops (D, anti-codon, and T loops). The record is from Rfam. Lineage: Eukaryota; Metazoa; Chordata; Mammalia; Artiodactyla; Bovidae.
UCCCUGGUGGCCCAGUGGUUAAGACACUGUGCUCUCAAUGCAGGGGUCCAGGCUCAAUCCCUGGCCAGGGAA